GUGGGGAAUCUUAGACAAUGGGCGCAAGCCUGAUCUAGCCAUGCCGCGUGAGCGAUGAAGGCCUUAGGGUUGUAAAGCUCUUUCGUGGGGGAAGAUAAUGACGGUACCCCAAGAAGAAGCCCCGGCUAACUCCGUGCCAGUAGCCGCGGUAAUACGGAGGGGGCUAGCGUUGUUCGGAAUUACUGGGCGUAAAGCGCACGUAGGCGGACCAGAAAGUCAGAGGUGAAAGCCCGGGGCUCAACCCCGGAACUGCCUUUGAAACUCCUGGUCUUGAGGUCGAGAGAGGUGGGUGGAAUUCCGAGUGUAGAGGUGAAAUUCGUAGAUAUUCGGAGGAACACCAGUGGCGAAGGCGGCCCACUGGCUCGAUACUGACGCUGAGGUGCGAAAGCGUGGGGAGCAAACAGGAUUAGAUACCCUAGUAGUCC
This 425-nucleotide ribosomal RNA is filed under the name uncultured bacterium. RNAcentral describes it as "partial 16S ribosomal RNA". It matches the Rfam family "Bacterial small subunit ribosomal RNA", at positions 354 to 796 of the family's 1533-position model. The record is from RNAcentral.